GGUGAGUAACGCGUGAGUAACCUGCCUUACACAAGGGGAUAGCCUUUGGAAACGAAGAAUAAUACCCUAUAAAACCAUAAAAGCACAUGCUAGAAUGGUCAAAGUGAUAGCGGUGUAAGAUGGACUUGCGUCUGAUUAGCUAGUUGGUGAGAUAAAAGCUCACCAAGGCAACGAUCAGUAGCCGGCUUGAGAGAGUGUACGGCCACAUUGGGACUGAGACACGGCCCAG
Molecule: ribosomal RNA, 229 nt
Filed under: uncultured Eubacteriales bacterium
Lineage: Bacteria; Bacillati; Bacillota; Clostridia; Eubacteriales
Description: uncultured Clostridiales bacterium partial 16S ribosomal RNA
Rfam family: Bacterial small subunit ribosomal RNA
Source: RNAcentral